Molecule: long non-coding RNA, 177 nt
Organism: Dermacentor andersoni
Lineage: Eukaryota; Metazoa; Arthropoda; Arachnida; Ixodida; Ixodidae
Source: RefSeq, a predicted model, not a curated record
AGGUAAAAGUCGGGCGACGACAAAUAGUGAGAGGCGACUACGUGCCUACGAAGAGACGAAGGCUUCCUGGAGAUGAAGUGGAGUCGGCACAGCCAGAGCCAUGCGUACCCAUUGAUUAUCCACAAUUGGAUGGUGUGUCGGAUGAAAGUGUGGAACGUUCACUAGGUGACAAUCAGG